RNAcentral lists this ribosomal RNA (904 nucleotides) under uncultured Klebsiella sp. Its description in RNAcentral is "bacterial SSU rRNA". It matches the Rfam family "Bacterial small subunit ribosomal RNA", at positions 56 to 947 of the family's 1533-position model. Lineage: Bacteria; Pseudomonadati; Pseudomonadota; Gammaproteobacteria; Enterobacterales; Enterobacteriaceae. The record is from RNAcentral.
UGCUAGUCGAGCGGUAGCACAGAGAGCUUGCUCUCGGGUGACGAGCGGCGGACGGGUGAGUAAUGUCUGGGAAACUGCCUGAUGGAGGGGGAUAACUACUGGAAACGGUAGCUAAUACCGCAUAACGUCGCAAGACCAAAGUGGGGGACCUUCGGGCCUCAUGCCAUCAGAUGUGCCCAGAUGGGAUUAGCUAGUAGGUGGGGUAACGGCUCACCUAGGCGACGAUCCCUAGCUGGUCUGAGAGGAUGACCAGCCACACUGGAACUGAGACACGGUCCAGACUCCUACGGGAGGCAGCAGUGGGGAAUAUUGCACAAUGGGCGCAAGCCUGAUGCAGCCAUGCCGCGUGUAUGAAGAAGGCCUUCGGGUUGUAAAGUACUUUCAGCGGGGAGGAAGGCGAUAAGGUUAAUAACCUUGUCGAUUGACGUUACCCGCAGAAGAAGCACCGGCUAACUCCGUGCCAGCAGCCGCGGUAAUACGGAGGGUGCAAGCGUUAAUCGGAAUUACUGGGCGUAAAGCGCACGCAGGCGGUCUGUCAAGUCGGAUGUGAAAUCCCCGGGCUCAACCUGGGAACUGCAUUCGAAACUGGCAGGCUAGAGUCUUGUAGAGGGGGGUAGAAUUCCAGGUGUAGCGGUGAAAUGCGUAGAGAUCUGGAGGAAUACCGGUGGCGAAGGCGGCCCCCUGGACAAAGACUGACGCUCAGUGCGAAAGCGUGGGGAGCAAAACAGGAUUAGAUACCCUGGUAGUCCACGCCGUAAACGAUGUCGAUUUGGAGGUUGUGCCCUUGAGGCGUGGCUUCCCGGAGCUAACGCGUUAAAUCGACCGCCUGGGGGAGUACGGCCGCAAGGUUAAAACUCAAAUGAAUUUGACGGGGGCCCGCACAAGCGGUGGGAGCAUGUGGUUU